Dreissena polymorpha is the source of this 2056-nucleotide long non-coding RNA. RefSeq lists it as uncharacterized. The record is from RefSeq and is a predicted model, not a curated record. The transcript has 7 exons. NCBI's taxonomy places the organism in Eukaryota, Metazoa, Mollusca, Bivalvia, Myida, Dreissenidae.
UACAGAAGAUGGCAGUUUUGGAAGGCUUGUAAAUGACUCCACCCACGGCAUUUGAAAAGUACAGUGCUUUGAGGAGGAGGGUCUAUCAAGCUUAUAUUUUGUUUCCCUCCGUGAAAUUCUGCCACUGGUCAGAUGCUACAGUUGACUGUGCCAGCGUCAUCUCUCGUGCAGAGAAGAAGUUGUGUAUAAUUAUGGUGCAGAACCAUAUCCAUGGCGGAAAAAGGACAGGUUUGAUUUAUACACUGAUGUUGGAGCUUGGGAAAAGCCACUUGACUACAUUACCCAGCUCAGGCAGUCUGCAAUAUUCAAAGAAGUGAGGACUUUGAGUUCUUGAUGACUGCAGUGUCCAUGACUAAGAUGGUGAACUAGAUGGCCUAGAUCCAGAACUGACUACAUGGACCAAGGACGAGUUUGCCAUAUGCAGUCGCUGAUGUUGGAACUUGGGACAAGCAGUUUGAAUACAUUGCCCAGCACAGGCAGUCUGAAAUGCUGGAAUAAGACAUAUGGGGGUGCAAAACAGCAUGAAGCAAUCUACGUAUGAUUCGGCGUAAAGUCGCCAUGGUCAGCCCAGGCAGCCUUCCGGCACUUUGUCAGAGGCCAGAUCAUCAGAGAUGUGAUUGAGAGCCAUGAGGUAGCUGCUGUCAAAGAUUGGGCUCGGAUCUGACAAGCAGCCAAUAGUUUGCCUUUUAAAGAGUGCGGCAUAUCAUUCCCACAAGAUAAAUAAUGUUGGAUUAAUUGUGGCUUCAAGGCACAGAAGACAUCCCAGAUACAGAUGAUUCCUUGAGUUCCAACAUCACAUGAAAUUAUUUCAUUUUUGAUUGGUAAAUGUUUGGACACUAACAACUUUAUCAGGAUUUAAGAUCAAAUAAGCAAGCAUAGAUAUACACAUAUAUAUCCAGUUCAAACUGUGUUUGAUUUCAGUUAUUAGUGCUAUGUUCAUAUUGUAUAAACCAUUAACUUCAACAAUUACAGAAGACGUGCAUUGCCCCAUCUUCUUUGUCCAGCCACCUGGCCUGACUUGUAACAGGUAUCGGGAUUCCCUGCUGGAGUAGUUGUGUGCUAACUUCUCGGGUUCAACCACCAAUGAUGGAUUUCCCAAGGCUACAGCUACAUACUGAAGAUGAUAGUCAACAGUCAGCUUGUGAUGUAAGAAACGGGCAUUCAGCCGACGAAUAUAAACCAGCACAUCUUUACUGCUUGCUAGUUUUCAUGUGCAGUGCUCUUGAAAAGUGCAGGGAGUCGACCUUGCUGGAACAGGUGCUCACUCUUCAGUCUGCUAGACGGGUAGCGCCCAAGUCACUGCCAGCGCUCAUGAAAAGGCAAGACGCCCUAGAGAUGGGAACCACUGACUCACAUGAUCAGUUCCCCAUCUUGAGCAGCACUUAAGGCGACCACCUUAAAGCCUACUUUCUGGAAUACAUCAGUGUGCAGAGCUUAUACGUCAAGUUGAAGAAUUGCAAUUCAUCUCAUGGACAGUGAUAAAACAUUUAAACAAAACUGUAUAAUUAUGACUGAAAAAUCUAAACAAAAUAAAAUGUGUUGUUGCCUUAUGCCAGUGUGAUGGCACUAAAUUGCUUAUUUUCAAGGAUGAGGCUUUGUUGACUGCUUUAAUAAAUACAAAAUGUAAAAUUACCUGCUCAACUAUGAAAUUAUGUGAAUCAAAUAUUGUGUACAACUACUGCUGGCCUCAUUAAAGAAACACAAUUGAAGCUUCAUUACUAAAUGUGUGCGCAAAAAUUAUGUCCCGAUUCUAAUCAGUGACUCCUUUGUGUAGCUUAUGUUUAACGACUGUUCAGUUUAGCUGCUGUUUUCACCAAGUAAGUUAGUUAGCAAAUACAGUCUACUUUUCUAAUCAGUUUGCUAUAUGUAGUAUAAAGUGACUGUUUAAAAUGAAUCAGAUAUCUUAGAUUAACAUUGUCUAAUCUUUUUUUAAACUUAAAAUCUCUUGUCGUAAGGUAUAACUUCCUGGACUAGUUUUCACAAUUGCAUAUGUAUUGCGCAAAAUUUUUGUUCAUUCGAAUUCAAGUGAUUUAACAGUCAAUAAAUUAAUAUUUAA